GGAAUUUUUGACAAUGGGGGAAACCCUGAUCAAGCAACGCCGCGUGGAUGAUGAAGUAUCUCGGUACGUAAAAUCCUUUCGCCAGGGAAGAAGCCUUCGGGUUGACGGUACCUGUAGAAGAAGCCCCGGCUAACUCCGUGCCAGCAACCGCGGUAAUCCGUGGGGGGCAAGGGUUGUUCGGAUUUACUGGGCGUAAAGGGCGCGUAGGCGGUUCGUUAAGUCGGAUGGGAAAACUCUGGGCUCAACCCAGAGCCUGCAUCCGAUACUGGCGGACUAGAGUGCGAGAGGGGAAAGCGGAAUUCCUGGUGUAGCGGUGAAAUGCGUAGAUAUCAGGAGGAACACCGGCGGCGAAGGCGGCUUUCUGGAUCGCAACUGACGCUGAGGCGCGAAAGCUAGGGGAGCAAAC
Molecule: ribosomal RNA, 406 nt
Filed under: uncultured bacterium
Lineage: Bacteria
Description: bacterial SSU rRNA
Rfam family: Bacterial small subunit ribosomal RNA
Source: RNAcentral